CCUGAGAAACCCAAAAGAUCGAAUGGGGAGAUUCAUCGUCAGCUCAUUUUGUAUAUAUAUAAGUUAUGAUAUGGGUUACUACUUGUAGUAUUGCUUGUACAUUCUUGUAUAUUUAAUUGCAAGAUAUUGUCGGCGUGCACUUCUCCCCUAGUAGGACGUCGCGACCCGUUGAGCGUCGGUUUACGGCCCAGGUGGUAGUCUUUAAUUCUUUGAAUUAAAGACCCUUGGUGUUUCCUAACUGACUAUUCGGCGGUAUUCGUACGGUAUUAAGCCGCAUUUAUGCGUUCAUAAUCGUUGCAAGCGCGGUCAAUUUUUGGUAGUACGGACCUAGUGCCGUCGCUAUAAUUGAUCAGCUGUUGGUUGUACGGUAUUCUAGAACUGGCUUUUUAUAUAUACCGGUCAGCGAUGUUA
This 411-nucleotide ribosomal RNA is filed under the name Biosteres haemorrhoeus. RNAcentral describes it as "eukaryotic LSU rRNA". The record is from RNAcentral. Lineage: Eukaryota; Metazoa; Arthropoda; Insecta; Hymenoptera; Braconidae.